GUAAUUCAACUUAGUACGAGAGGAACCGUUGAUUCAGAUAAUUGGUAUUUGCAUCUGUCCGAUCGGGCAAUGGUGCGAAGCUAUCAUCUGCUGGAUAAUGGCUGAACGCCUCUAAGCCAGAAUCCGUGCUAGAAGCGAUAACAUUGGUCCCGCACAUGCCUUGUGUUGGAAUA
Molecule: ribosomal RNA, 173 nt
Filed under: Ochromonas sp. CCMP1393
Lineage: Eukaryota; Chrysophyceae; Chromulinales; Chromulinaceae
Description: partial Eukaryotic large subunit ribosomal RNA
Rfam family: Eukaryotic large subunit ribosomal RNA
Source: RNAcentral